AUAAUCAAUUGUUUUUUAAUUGAAAACUUGUAUGAAAGAAUUGAUGAGAUAGAAAUUGUUUCGAUAGUUAAAAAUGAAUUUAAAUUUUAAGUUAAAAUGCUUAAAUUUAUUUAUUAGACGAAAAGACCCUAUAGAAUUUUAUAAAAUUAAAUUAAAGUAAAUUCAAUAUAAGAUUAAUUAUUUUAUUUUAUUAUAUUUAGUUGGGAGGAUUAUAAAAUUUAAUAAACUUUUAUUUUUUAUAUAGACAUUGAUUAAUGAAAAUAUGGAUUAUUAUUAUAAUUAAAAGAGAAAAUUACCUUA
This 300-nucleotide ribosomal RNA is filed under the name Ancistrocerus nigricornis. Its description in RNAcentral is "partial 16S ribosomal RNA". Lineage: Eukaryota; Metazoa; Arthropoda; Insecta; Hymenoptera; Vespidae. The record is from RNAcentral.